This 333-nucleotide RNase P RNA is filed under the name Methanobacteriota archaeon. Its description in RNAcentral is "Euryarchaeota archaeon (marine metagenome) RNase P RNA component". It matches the Rfam family "Archaeal RNase P". Rfam says of the family: Ribonuclease P (RNase P) is a ubiquitous endoribonuclease, found in archaea, bacteria and eukarya as well as chloroplasts and mitochondria. Its best characterised activity is the generation of mature 5'-ends of tRNAs by cleaving the 5'-leader elements of precursor-tRNAs. Lineage: Archaea; Methanobacteriati; Methanobacteriota. The record is from RNAcentral.
UCGAGCCGGAGGGCAGCUAACGCUUCUCUUGAUUGAGAAGUGAGGAAACUCCGCCCAUCACUGCAGGACCCGGAGGGUUAAUAAACCCGUGCCGAGAGGCACAGCUCUGGAGCAGAAACGGUACCCUUGCAUAGAAGUAAGCUGUGAAGUCGAAAGACAGAGUUUCUAUACAGGGGGUGAAACGGCCAUCUCCGGGGAUGCAAGCAGAAGGGAGCGCUCGGCUGCAGGAGUCCCUUCGCUAUGGCGCUAAGACGAAUGCUGCAUGGGAAACCGGAAGAUGAUAUUCUUCUUCCGGCUAUUCCUACAACAGAAGGUGGGUUACUCCCGGCACGG